UCCUGGCAUGUGCGCGAGUGGGAACGCUCAGUAUGAACGAGUGCAAGGUAGACGUGGAGAAUGCCAAAUGAAUGGCACCAUGUUGGAGGAAUGGUGGCCACAAGCACAGAGAACGAGAUCACCCAGAUACUGCUCAUUCCUGCUCCGCCGUUGUGCACUUGGGCUAUGUUGUCUAUCUUUGACGUGCAGCAGUCUGUGCAUACAUGAGGAGAUGAGCCACAUUCCACCCUGCAGCCCUCCACCAUAAGAGUGUGUAUCUGAGUGGUCUUGGCAGGAUGCUGAGAUAGAUGGACAUCAGUAAUUCUGGAAACCCAUCUAGCAAGAAGUCUACAUUGAAGAAAAGAGAUGAUGAUGAAUGGACCAGUUACACCAAGUCAAGGCAUUUCCUUUUGGGUCGUUCACAACAGCAGGACUGAAGUGCAUGUAUGGUGAGAUCCGGAGACCAGACCGCGACCCUGAAUGCUGGGUGGAGCUGCUUUUAUGUUGACAUUUCUGCAGGACCAGGUGUGGGAAAAUGAGCAGCCCGGCAGGUGCCUGUAUUCAAAACUGUUGUUUGAGAGGGAAUCCUUAAAGAACUGGAGACAGCAGGAAAGUAAUUAAACAUGAUUUCACAGCUUAAUUUUGUUUACAAAGAACUCUUUUAGCUCGUCAUGCUGUUGGAGAGAAUGAAAGGCUAGUUGUGUUGCCUACUGGCUCUUUAGUCACAAUGAGCAGGCAGUGAUGAGGGGAUUUUUUUUUUUUAAAUUAGUUUUCUAAUUUUGACACUAAAUGAUUGCAAAUGGUGGACUUGAAAACAGAAGGAGCGUGAUCACACUUACCAGCAAUCAUGAGUUCAAAAGCAACCAAACUCUUUGGUGUUUGAAAAAUGGACCUUUUCUCAGAUGUUGUGAAAUCCCCAUGAUUG
Molecule: long non-coding RNA, 904 nt
Organism: Onychostoma macrolepis
Lineage: Eukaryota; Metazoa; Chordata; Actinopteri; Cypriniformes; Cyprinidae
Exons: 3
Source: RefSeq, a predicted model, not a curated record